Molecule: transfer RNA, 73 nt
Filed under: Myotis brandtii (Brandt's bat)
Lineage: Eukaryota; Metazoa; Chordata; Mammalia; Chiroptera; Vespertilionidae
Rfam family: tRNA
About the family: Transfer RNA (tRNA) molecules are approximately 80 nucleotides in length.
Source: Rfam by way of RNAcentral
GCCGGUUUGGCUCAGUGGAUAGAGCGUCAGCCUGUGGACCGAAGGGUACCGGGUUCGAUUCCGGUCAGGGGCA